Molecule: ribosomal RNA, 709 nt
Filed under: Bacillus sp. 170(2015)
Lineage: Bacteria; Bacillati; Bacillota; Bacilli; Caryophanales; Bacillaceae
Description: bacterial SSU rRNA
Rfam family: Bacterial small subunit ribosomal RNA
Source: RNAcentral
GUUUCUUAAGUCUGAUGAGAAAAGCCCCCCCGGCUCAACCCGGGGAGGGUCAUUGGAAACUGGGAAACUUGGAGUGCGGAAGAGGGAGAGUGGAAUUCCACGUGUAGCGGUGAAAUGCGUAGAGAUGUGGAGGAACACCAGUGGCGAAAGGCGACUCUCUGGGUCUGUAACUGACGCUGAGGAGCGAAAGCGUGGGGGAGCGAACAGGAUUAGAUACCCUGGUAGUCCACGCCGUAAACGAUGAGUGCUAAGUGUUAGGGGGUUUCCGCCCCUUAGUGCUGCAGCUAAAGCAUUAAGCACUCCGCCUGGGGAGUACGGUCGCAAGACUGAAACUCAAAGGAAUUGACGGGGGCCCGCACAAGCGGUGGAGCAUGUGGUUUAAUUUGAAGCAACGCGAAGAACCUUACCAGGUCUUGACAUCCUCUGACAACCCUAGAGAUAGGGCUUUCCCUUCGGGGACAGAGUGACAGGUGGUGCAUGGUUGUCGUCAGCUCGUGUCGUGAGAUGUUGGGUUAAGUCCCGCAACGAGCGCAACCCUUGAUCUUAGUUGCCAGCAUUCAGUUGGGCACUCUAAGGUGACUGCCGGUGACAAACCGGAGGAAGGUGGGGAUGACGUCAAAUCAUCAUGCCCCUUAUGACCUGGGCUACACACGUGCUACAAUGGACAGAACAAAGGACUGCGAGACCGCAAGGUUUAGCCAAUCCCACA